Molecule: ribosomal RNA, 913 nt
Filed under: uncultured marine archaeon
Lineage: Archaea
Description: bacterial SSU rRNA
Rfam family: Archaeal small subunit ribosomal RNA
Source: RNAcentral
UUCCGGUUGAUCCUGCCGGACCUGACUGCUAUCGGAUUGAUACUAAGCCAUGCGAGUCUUUGCAGUAAUGCAAGGCAUACGGCUCAGUAACACGUAGUCAACUUACCCUAUGGACGAGGAUAAUCUCGGGAAACUGAGCAUAAUACUCGAUAGAUCAUAAUGCCUGGAAUGGUUUAUGGUUGAAAUGAUUCGUCGCCAUAGGAUGGGACUGCGGCCUAUCAGCUUGUUGGUGAGGUAAUGGCCCACCAAGGCGAUUACAGGUACGGGCUCUGAGAGGAGAAGCCCGGAGAUGGGUACUGAGACAAGGACCCAGGCCCUAUGGGGCGCAGCAGGCGAGAAAACUUUGCAAUGUGCGAAAGCACGACAAGGUUAAUCCGAGUGAUUUCUGCUAAAGAAAUCUUUUGCAAGUCAUAAAACCACUAGUGAAUAAGGGGUGGGCAAGUUCUGGUGUCAGCCGCCGCGGUAAAACCAGCACCUCAAGUGGUCAGGAGGAUUAUUGGGCCUAAAGCAUCCGUAGCCGGCUCUGUAAGUUUUCGGUUAAAUCCAUGUGCUCAACAUAUGGGCUGCCGAAAAUACUGCAUAGCUAGGGAGUGGGAGAGGUAGACGGUACUCGGUAGGAAGGGGUAAAAUCCUUUGAUCUAUCGAUGACCACCUGUGGCGAAGGCGGUCUACCAGAACACGUUCGACGGUGAGGGAUGAAAGCUGGGGGAGCAAACCGGAUUAGAUACCCGGGUAGUCCCAGCUGUAAACGAUGCAGACUCGAUGAUGCAUUGGCAUAUAGCCAGUGCAGUGUCGCAGGGAAGCCGUUAAGUCUGCCGCCUGGGAAGUACGUACGCAAGUAUGAAACUUAAAGGAAUUGGCGGGGGAGCACCACAAGGGGUGAAGCCUGCGGUUCAAUUGGAUUCAACGCCGG